RNAcentral lists this ribosomal RNA (396 nucleotides) under uncultured rape rhizosphere bacterium wr0029. Its description in RNAcentral is "bacterial SSU rRNA". It matches the Rfam family "Bacterial small subunit ribosomal RNA", at positions 27 to 449 of the family's 1533-position model. The record is from RNAcentral.
GNGCGAACGCUGGCGGCAGGCUUAACACAUGCAAGUCGAGCGGGCGUAGCAAUACGUCAGCGGCAGACGGGUGAGUAACGCGUGGGAACGUACCUUUUGGUUCGGAACAACACAGGGAAACUUGUGCUAAUACCGGAUAAGCCCUUACGGGGAAAGAUUUAUCGCCGAAAGAUCGGCCCGCGUCUGAUUAGCUAGUUGGUGAGGUAACGGCUCACCAAGGCGACGAUCAGUAGCUGGUCUGAGAGGAUGAUCAGCCACAUUGGGACUGAGACACGGCCCAAACUCCUACGGGAGGCAGCAGUGGGGAAUAUUGGACAAUGGGCGCAAGCCUGAUCCAGCCAUGCCGCGUGAGUGAUGAAGGCCCUAGGGUUGUAAAGCUCUUUUGUGCGGGAAGAU